AACGAACGCUGGCGGCAUGCCUAACACAUGCAAGUCGAACGAAGGCUUCGGCCUUAGUGGCGCACGGGUGCGUAACGCGUGGGAAUCUGCCCUUAGGUUCGGAAUAACAGUUAGAAAUGACUGCUAAUACCGGAUGAUGACGUAAGUCCAAAGAUUUAUCGCCUGAGGAUGAGCCCGCGUAGGAUUAGCUAGUUGGUGUGGUAAAGGCGCACCAAGGCGACGAUCCUUAGCUGGUCUGAGAGGAUGAUCAGCCACACUGGGACUGAGACACGGCCCAGACUCCUACGGGAGGCAGCAGUGGGGAAUAUUGGACAAUGGGCGAAAGCCUGAUCCAGCAAUGCCGCGUGAGUGAUGAAGGCCUUAGGGUUGUAAAGCUCUUUUACCCGUGAUGAUAAUGACAGUAGCGGGAGAAUAAGCCCCGGCUAACUCCGUG
Molecule: ribosomal RNA, 433 nt
Filed under: uncultured bacterium
Lineage: Bacteria
Description: partial 16S ribosomal RNA
Rfam family: Bacterial small subunit ribosomal RNA
Source: RNAcentral